RNAcentral lists this unclassified non-coding RNA (378 nucleotides) under uncultured bacterium. Its description in RNAcentral is "contains 16S-23S intergenic spacer region". The record is from RNAcentral.
UCCCCGUUCACCGGGGCAGUCCCCUCAGAGUGCCCGGCAUGACCCGGUAGCAACAGAGGGCAAGGGUUGCGCUCGUUGCGGGACUUAACCCAACAUCUCACGACACGAGCUGACGACAGCCAUGCAGCACCUGUGCACUAGCCCCGAAGGGAAGACGACUUUCGCCGCCCAUCCAGUACAUGUCAAACCCAGGUAAGGUUCUUCGCGUUGCGUCGAAUUAAACCACAUGCUCCACCGCUUGUGCGGGCCCCCGUCAAUUCGUUUGAGUUUCAGCCUUGCGACCGUACUCCCCAGGCGGGGCACUUACUGCGUUAGCGCCGGCACCGACGGGAUGUAUACCGCCGACACCUAGUGCCCAUCGUUUACGGCGUGGACUAC